AGAACGAACGCUGGCGGCAUGCCUAAUACAUGCAAGUCGAACGAACUCUUCGGAGUUAGUGGCGCACGGGUGCGUAACGCGUGGGAAUCUGCCCUUGGGUUCGGAAUAACAGUUGGAAACGACUGCUAAUACCGGAUGAUGACGAAAGUCCAAAGAUUUAUCGCCCAGGGAUGAGCCCGCGUAGGAUUAGCUAGUUGGUGAGGUAAAGGCUCACCAAGGCGACGAUCCUUAGCUGGUCUGAGAGGAUGAUCAGCCACACUGGGACUGAGACACGGCCCAGACUCCUACGGGAGGCAGCAGUAGGGAAUAUGGACAAUGGCGAAAGCUGAUCAGCAAUGCGCGUGAGUGAUGAAGGCCUUAGGUUGUAAAGCUCUUUUACCCGAGAUGAUAAUGACUGUACCGGAGAAUAAGCCCCGGCUAACUCCGUGCCCAGCAGCCGAC
This 441-nucleotide ribosomal RNA is filed under the name uncultured soil bacterium. RNAcentral's name for it is "bacterial SSU rRNA". It matches the Rfam family "Bacterial small subunit ribosomal RNA", at positions 26 to 518 of the family's 1533-position model. The record is from RNAcentral.